Molecule: ribosomal RNA, 616 nt
Filed under: Trichoderma harzianum
Lineage: Eukaryota; Fungi; Ascomycota; Sordariomycetes; Hypocreales; Hypocreaceae
Description: eukaryotic LSU rRNA
Rfam family: 5.8S ribosomal RNA (bases 272-424)
Source: RNAcentral
CAUCUUGGUCAUUUAGAGGAAGUAAAAGUCGUAACAAGGUCUCCGUUGGUGAACCAGCGGAGGGAUCAUUACCGAGUUUACAACUCCCAAACCCAAUGUGAACGUUACCAAACUGUUGCCUCGGCGGGAUCUCUGCCCCGGGUGCGUCGCAGCCCCGGACCAAGGCGCCCGCCGGAGGACCAACCAAAACUCUUUUUGUAUACCCCCUCGCGGGUUUUUUAUAAUCUGAGCCUUCUCGGCGCUUCUCGUAGGCGUUUCGAAAAUGAAUCAAAACUUUCAACAACGGAUCUAUUGGUUCUGGCAUCGAUGAAGAACGCAGCGAAAUGCGAUAAGUAAUUUGAAGAGCAGAAGUCAGUGAAUCAUCGAAUCUGGAAUGCACAUUGCGCCCGCCAGUAUUCUGGCGGGCAUGCCUGUCCGAGCGUCAUUUCAACCCUCGAACCCCUCCGGGGGGUCGGCGUUGGGGAUCGGCCAUGCCUUUGCGGGUGGCCGUCUCCGAAAUACAGUGGCGGUCUCGCCGCAGCCUCUCCUGCGCAGUAGUUUGCACACUCGCAUCGGGAGCGCGGCGCGUCCACAGCCGUUAAACACCCAAAUUCGAAAUUGACUCGAUCAGGUAGGA